UACGUAGGGUGCGAGCGUUGUCCGGAAUUACUGGGCGUAAAGAGCUCGUAGGUGGUUUGUCGCGUUGUCCGUGAAAACUCACAACUCAAUUGUGGGCGUGCGGGCGAUACGGGCAGACUGGAGUACUGCAGGGGAGACCGGAAUUCCUGGUGUAGCGGUGGAAUGCGCAGAUAUCAGGAGGAACACCGGUGGCGAAGGCGGGUCUCUGGGCAGUAACUGACGCUGAGGAGCGAAAGCGUGGGGAGCGAACAGG
RNAcentral lists this ribosomal RNA (253 nucleotides) under uncultured bacterium. RNAcentral describes it as "partial 16S ribosomal RNA". It matches the Rfam family "Bacterial small subunit ribosomal RNA", at positions 524 to 776 of the family's 1533-position model. The record is from RNAcentral.